AGGACGAACGCUGGCGGCGCGCCUAAAACAUGCAAGUCGAACGAGAAGCCCGGGCUUGCCCGGGUGGACAGUGGCGAACGGGUGAGUAACACGUGAGGAACCUGCCCCGAAGACCGGGACAACACCGGGAAACCGGUGCUAAUACCGGAUACCUUCACCGGAUCGCAUGGUCUGGUGAAGAAAUGGAUUCCGCUUCGGGAUGGCCUCGCGGCCUAUCAGCUUGUUGGUGAGGUAACGGCUCACCAAGGCAACGACGGGUAGCUGGUCUGAGAGGAUGUCCAGCCACACUGGGACUGAGACACGGCCCAGACUCCUACGGGAGGCAGCAGUUAGGAAUCUUGCGCAAUGGACGAAAGUCUGACGCAGCGACGCCGCGUGCGGGAUGAAGGCCUUCGGGUUGUAAACCGCUUUCAGCAGGGACGAAUUGACGGUACCUGCAGAAGAAGCCCCGGCCAACUACGUGCCAGCAGCCGC
This 474-nucleotide ribosomal RNA is filed under the name uncultured bacterium. RNAcentral describes it as "SSU rRNA". It matches the Rfam family "Bacterial small subunit ribosomal RNA", at positions 26 to 518 of the family's 1533-position model. The record is from RNAcentral.